GAUUAAAUGGCUGAAAAAUAGGCAAUAGAUUGUAAAUUUAUUUAUGAGAAAAUUCUCUUUAAUCA
This 65-nucleotide transfer RNA is filed under the name Mesembrina meridiana. RNAcentral's name for it is "tRNA-Tyr". Lineage: Eukaryota; Metazoa; Arthropoda; Insecta; Diptera; Muscidae. The record is from RNAcentral.